AUAUCUGUGGAUGAUCCCAGCACUUCAGAGGAUUAUUUCUGGUUUUAACAGUUAUUAUCAAUGAUGGUGACAGGUAUUUUCACAUAUCAAAUAAAACCUCCAAACCACAGAAAAGGAGAUUAUCCGUGUAAGGAAUUAUUUUGUGGCUUUUAAUGACAGUGAGGAAAAUGGUCGAAAAGGAGCACCGCGGUAAAUCUCUUACAGAAAUUUGUAGAACACUGACAUCUGGAGGUAGAGCUGCUUAAAACAGAAAGAUGCAUCUACUCAGACUCCUUGAGAAGGUCUGCAUCUCUGCCUUAAUUUAACCAUUACAUGCCAGAGGAAAAUUUAUUUUUGGUGCCAGAAGAAAAUAGGAGGAAAGGGAGCUGUCAGCUAAACAAGAUUUGGAUUGUAGAACUCUUACCUCCAGAUCAAGAGGUGGAAGAAAUAUUGCAGACAAUAUCUGAAAUCAAGAAGCAUCCAGUGCCGCAAUCAAACCAAGAGGCUUGCACACAUUUCCCUGUUUGCAAAUUGCACACACAGAUUUCAGAAACAAGUUGUAGCAGAUGCAUGGAUUCACUACAGCCCCCAAAGUGAUGAAAGGACAAGUUGAGGGUUUUUUCCCAAGUUGCAUAAUUUGCUGAAUUAAGGUUUGAAUGAAAUUUCCUGGAAUUACAGUUUGUGCCCAUUGCCUUUUGUCCUGUCACAGAGCAUCACUAAGAAGAGAUUGGCUCUUCUUCACUUCUCUCCACCAGAUGUUUAUAUAAAUUGAUAGAAUUCCUCCAGUCCUUCUCUUCUGGAGCAGAGUCUUCCAUACAGCUAUUGCAGUUCAUGCUUCCUUUGUGCAAGAAGGACAGCAUAUAUUACAUCAACAGAGAAGGAAGAGGAACAGCGUCAGGAUGAACCUGAGCACGGAAAGCAAAUAGGAGGCAAACUUCCACCUUUGUAGAUUUGUGGCUGAAGACUUAUUAAUGGACUAAGAAGUUAUUAAG
Long non-coding RNA from Pogoniulus pusillus (Red-fronted tinkerbird), 971 nucleotides. RefSeq lists it as uncharacterized. The transcript has 8 exons. NCBI's taxonomy places the organism in Eukaryota, Metazoa, Chordata, Aves, Piciformes, Lybiidae. The record is from RefSeq and is a predicted model, not a curated record.